AGUUAAUUAGCUUAAGAAAAGCUUGUACUUUGAAAGUAUAGUAAGGGGGUUUAAUUCCCCCAUUAACUU
Molecule: transfer RNA, 69 nt
Filed under: Sphedanolestes impressicollis
Lineage: Eukaryota; Metazoa; Arthropoda; Insecta; Hemiptera; Reduviidae
Description: tRNA-Ser
Rfam family: tRNA
About the family: Transfer RNA (tRNA) molecules are approximately 80 nucleotides in length. Their secondary structure includes four short double-helical elements and three loops (D, anti-codon, and T loops).
Source: RNAcentral